Triticum aestivum (bread wheat) is the source of this 3992-nucleotide RNA transcript. It is a transcript of the gene named pentatricopeptide repeat-containing protein At5g65560, with no coding region annotated. The record is from RefSeq and is a predicted model, not a curated record. NCBI's taxonomy places the organism in Eukaryota, Viridiplantae, Streptophyta, Magnoliopsida, Poales, Poaceae. The transcript is spliced from 5 exons.
AUAAUCAAUCGCAGCAGCCCAAACAAGGCACCUCAGUAAAGGCCCAGGAUCCCAUCUCCCUCCUCCCACCUCCAUCACCAUCCGCCUCCGGCGGCGGCGCCGCCCACCUUCAUAACCCACCACACAAUAGCCCUCCGCGCCAUGCCCCUACCCGUUCCCACCUCCCGCCUCCUCGCCGCCAUCUCCGCUGCCGCGUCCUCAACUGCAGACCUCCGCCGCCUCUCCCACCUCCUCCUCACCCCCUACACCCCACUCCCCCCGCUCCGCUGCCUCAAUACCCUCCUCAUGGCGCUCGCCCGCCACCGCAUGCUCCCAGACAUGGAGUCCUUCGCAUCCCGCAUGCCCGCGCGCAACCUUCACACGUACACCACCCUUAUCAAUGCCUACUGCCUCGCCGGCGACCUCCCUGCUGCCAAGCGGCAUCUUGCCUCCCUACUCCGCGCUGGUCUUGCGCCGGACUCUCAUGCGUAUACCUCAUUUGUUCUCGGAUAUUGUCGGGCCGGGCUGCUUUCGCACGCCUGCCGGGUGUUCGUGCUAAUGCCGCUCCGAGGAUGUGCACGCACUGUGUUCACGUACACUGCGUUGCUCCAUGGGCUGUGUGGCGCCGGUAUGGUGCGUGAGGCUGUGGCAGUGUUUGCUGGGAUGCGGGCAGACGGGUGCGCCCCUGACACACAUGUGUAUGCCACGAUGGUGCAUGGACUGUGUGGGGCGGGGCGAACUGGUGAGGCAGAGGUUAUUCUCACGGAGGCAAUGGCUGAGGGUUUUGAGCCAAAUGUGGUCGUCUACAAUGCCCUGAUUGAUGGCUACUGCAAUGCUGGGGAUCUGGAGCUCGCGGUUAAGGUUUAUGAGAGGAUGGAUCUUAAGGGGUGCUCAGCGAACGUGCGAACGUAUACUGAGCUGAUAUGUGGGUUCUGCAAAUCUGGCAAGGUGGACAGAGCCAUGGUGAUGUUCAGCCGGAUGGUUGAGGCUGGUUUGGCUCCAAAUGUGGUGACAUACACGGCCUUAAUUCAGGGGCAGUGCAAUGAUGGGCAGUUGGAAUGUGCUUUUAGGAUGCUCCAAUCGAUGGAGGCCACUGGGCUGGUUCCUAGUGAGUGGACUUGCUCGAUGUUGAUUGAUGCUCUGUGCAAACGUGGAAGGGUUGGGGAAGCUCAGUUGUUUCUUGGGUCUCUUAUACAGAAAGGAUACAGAGUGAAUGAGAUUGUCUACAGCAGCUUGAUUGAUGGACUGUGCAAGGCAGGAAAGGUUGAUGCUGCUGACAAGUUAAUGCAGAAAUUGGUUUCACAGGGGUUUGUGCUAGACGCUCACACAUACAGUUCACUAAUUGAUGGAUUAUGCAGGCAAAAGGAGUUGUCACAAGCGAUGUUGGUGUUGGAUGAUAUGAUGGUGAAAGGAGUACAACCCAAUACUGUCACGUAUACCAUUCUAAUUGAUGAGCUUGUUAGGGAGCUAGGAUCUGAAGGUUCAAAGAAGAUACUUAAUAAGAUGAUUGCGGCAGGAAUUAAUCCUGAUGUUUUCACGUACACAAUAUUUGUUCGCUCCUACUGUCAUGAGGGAAGGAUGGAAGAUGCUGAACAUAUGAUGGUUGAAAUGGUUGAUCAGGGCAUUUCCCCUAAUUUAGUGACAUAUAACACUUUGAUUAGUGGGUAUGCAAAUUUAGGACUAGCCAGUCAAGCAUUUUCAGUUUUCAAGCACAUGGUUGCUAGUAGAUGCAAGCCAAAUGAGGAGUCCUACACGGCCCUGCUUAGAUUAUUGGUAAAGAAAAAAUCCUCUAAUAAUAUCCUUGCCAGCUCUGUUGAUAUAUGGAAAAUAGCAGAAAUGGAAUAUCUCCAGGAGCUUCUGGAGGAGGUGGUUAAGCUUCAGUUGCUUUCAGACAUUGAAAUUUACAAUUGUUUUCUUAGGUCUUUAUGCCGAGUUGAUAGAUUGGAGGAAACCAAAAUUUUGCUCGGUGAGAUGCAGAGUGCUAACUUGACCCCUGGUGAGGAUGUAUAUACUUCAAUUAUAGGGUGUUGUUGCAGACUAAAAAUGCCAACAGAAGCUUUGACAUUUCUUGAUUCAAUGGUCAAAAGUGGUUAUUUACCACGUAUAGAAUCGUAUAGGCAUAUUAUUUGUUCUCUUUGUGAGGAGGGAAGUAUUAAGACUGCUAAAAAGGUUUUGGGUCACAUGUUAUUGGAGGAAUACAACUAUGAUGAGAUUGUUUGGAAGAUUCUGAUUGAUGGUCUAUUGCGGAAGGGCAAUGCUGCUGAGUGUUUGAUUCUGCUCUCAGUGAUGGAGGAGCAAGAUUAUCGUCCUGGUGACGCAUUGUAUGCCAAGCUUACAGCAGGCUGUUUCAUCCCUUGGAGGAAGCACACCCUUUCAGAAUACCACACAAACUCUACAUAGAAUAGCUCUCAGCCAAUGGCUAGACUUGUAUGUGUCAGGCAUGCAACAGAUUCUCAAUGGUAUUGGGAACUUCUCAACCAACUCGGAGAGCAACGUGAGCGGGUGCAUUCUAUUUUGCAGAUGGCAAGGCAGUUGUCGUCACAGGAAGAAAGAAGGAUCAGGGAUAUCAAUUACCUGCUUGAAGAGAUAUAUACAACACCGAAGUUGAAUUGUUUGUUCAGUUGAUUGCUGUAACUUGGUGAAAUUACUAGUUUCUAAUGGUAAAGAGCAUGAAUAUUGACAAUUAUCUAAGUAUGUUCCAGACUGCUCCUCGAAGAAUACUUGAAUGGUAAAUAGGAUAGUCAAAUUCUGGAAGAUUCUAUGGAUGCAACUCAUUGCUAAUGCACCGAGUCAGCUUCUGUAUAUAUGCCGGUUCAUAAUACCGGCAGUAACCUCGAUAGGGUGUCAUGCGUAACCGGAAGGCCAAAAGGGAGUCACAUGAGGCAGUUACCCAGGUCCAGUCCAGGCCCUCACGGUGGAGAGUUCCAAGAAUGUUUUGGAAGGCAACUUGAAGACUUUGGUUCCAUUAUUUUAGAAUCACGUGGACGACAGGUGCUUGUAAAGCUGCACACUUGGUGUAAAGAGGUGUCUGAAAAACUGUGAGGGAGGUAGUUGUUCGGGGCGUCAUAUAUAACCAUAUUUCAGAAUGGUUAGGUGGAUGCUCAGUAUGCUACCAAUACAUUGUAGCGACACCAGCAAUUGUACUUCUGUAGCAUGCCAAAAUAGUAAAUAAGAACAUAGCAACUUUGUUCUCUUGGAAACCUACCCUCGAGCGCUCGCGCUGCUCCCAAGGGUGGCGGCGGGGGCUAUCUGGACCCGCCAGGGCCGGUGCGUGUGGAUGGUGCUCUGUUCUGGAUGGUGCUCUUCUACUACUCUGUCUGCGGGGGCUAUCUGGACCUGCUAGGAGGUGAGGAGCUCCAGCUCCACAUUUGAGGGCGGGGGAUGUUUGGGGUGCUAUCAGGUGUGCAGUACUCCUGACGUAGGUCCUGCUCAUUAUGGGUGAUGACAAUACUCGCGGGUGUUGUUUCCUUCUUGGAGGCCUCAUCGAGGAGAUUCGGCCCCUCUCCCAUCCCCGAGCUUUACUCUCCGGGUGAAAACCAAUAUCUGCCUCGUCGGAUCGGCGACUACAGCACCCUUGGCGUUGUUUCUGCAAUGGAAGCAUUGUUCUUUUGGAGUUUUGACCACUUGGCAGGAGCACCUAGACUGGUGAAGUGGCUGGUCGGAAGCUGGCGGUGCCGAGGUGGGGGUGGUGUCUGCGGUGGCGUGUCCAUUUGGGGCUGAGUGUUGGCCGUCAGUGUUGGGCAGUUGGAGCACACGUGACAUGCAUUGCAGCAUCAAGCAAGUCUUGUUGGAGCGGCACAUGUUUGCUCCUCUUUCAUCGGAUAUGGCUUCUCUCUCCGGUGUCGACGAGGUCACAAAACAUACUUGUGGUAGUCCUGCCCGAUGCAACAAGUGGUGCUCUUUGGUAAAGUCGAGGCGAAGUCGAAGUCGCCCGGCUGUGAGUAUGGUUGCUGAUGUAUGAUGACACCCCUUUAUCGGCAAUGUGAUUUUAUGUUUGUGUUGUGGCGUUCUUU